CUUCUCUGCAGAUGAUCCAAGAUUUCCAGAUUUCUUCCUUGUUUCUAUAUGUAAUUCCAUGUGAAGAAAUUUCCAAAAACAAAACUGAAAGUGCUAGGCUUGCUACAGGAAACCUAUUUUAGCGCAUACCUAACACACCCUGUUCCAGGAAAAAAAAAACAGACCAAAAUAAAUUGUUCUAGUCAGUCUGCCUUUAACCUUUAUUAAAGUAAUACAUUAGCAAAUAUUUCAGGCCUGUUUACAGUUGUAUUUCUAUAGUCC
Molecule: non-coding RNA, 261 nt
Organism: Pelobates cultripes (western spadefoot toad)
Lineage: Eukaryota; Metazoa; Chordata; Amphibia; Anura; Pelobatidae
Source: the annotation of a GenBank genome assembly